Molecule: ribosomal RNA, 1241 nt
Filed under: metagenome
Description: bacterial LSU rRNA
Rfam family: Bacterial large subunit ribosomal RNA
Source: RNAcentral
UGAAUACGAGAUGCUACGGCGUCGAAGCAGUCUAUGUCAUACUUCCAAGAAAAGCUCGCACUGUCAUAAACAAAUAAUGCCUGUACCAUAACCGACACAGGUGGGUAGGUAGAGUAUACUAAGGGGCGCGAGAUAACUCUCUCUAAGGAACUCGGCAAAAUGACUCCGUAACUUAGGGAGAAGGAGUGCCUUAUUUAUAAGGUUGCAAUAACAAGAUCCAAGCAACUGUUUAUCAAAAACACAGGUCUCCGCUAAGUCGUAAGACGAUGUAUGGGGGCUGACGCCUGCCCAGUGCCAGAAGGUUAAAGAAGUUGGUUAGCAUUCGCGAAGCUGAUAACUGAAGCCCUGGUGAACGGCGGCCGUAACGAUAACGGUCCUAAGGUAGCGAAAUUCCUUGUCGGGUAAGUUCCGACCCGCACGAAAGGCGUAAUGAUUUGGAUACUGUCUCGGAGAGGGGCUCGGUGAAAUAGACUUGUCUGUGAAGAUGCGGACUACCUGCACCAGGACAGAAAGACCCUAUGAAGCUUUACUGUAACUUGAGAUUGAAAUUGGACUUUACUUGCGCAGUAUAGGUGGGAGGCGUUGAUAAUAUUCUUGCGGGAUUAUUUGAGCCAUCAGUGAGAUACCACUCUUGUAAUGUUAGAUUUCUAACUUUGUAUCAUUAUCUGGUCAAAGGACAGUUUCAGGCGGGCAGUUUGACUGGGGCGGUCGCCUCCUAAACGGUAACGGAGGCGCACAAAGGUUUCCUCUGAACGGGUAGAAAUCGUAUCUAGAGUGUAAAGGCAUAAGGAAGCUUGACUGUGAGACCUACAAGUCGAGCAGGGACGAAAGUCGGUCUUAGUGAUCUGACGGUGCUGAGUGGAAAGGCCGUCACUCAACGGAUAAAAGUUACUCUAGGAUAACAGGCUGAUCUCCCCCAAGAGUUCACAUCGACGGGGAGGUUUGGCACCUCGAUGUCGGCUCAUCGCAUCCUGGGGCGGUAGUACGUCCCAAGGGUUGGGCUGUUCGCCCAUGAAAGCGGUACGCGAGCUGGGUUCAGAACGUCGUGAGACAGUUCGGUCCAUAUCCGGUGUAGGCGUUAGAAUAUUGAGAGGAGCCUUCUUUAGUACGAGAGGACCGAGAAGGACAUACCUCUGGUGUACCAGUUAUCGUGCCAACGGUAAACGCUGGGUAGCUAUGUAUGGAGUGGAUAGCCGCUGAAAGCAUCUAAGUGGGAAGCCCACCUCAAGAUAGGUAUUCUC